CCUACGGGAGGCAGCAGUAAGGAAUAUUGGUCAAUGGACGAAAGUCUGAACCAGCCAUGCCGCGUGAAGGAUUAAGGCCCUCUGGGUUGUAAACUUCUUUUAUCUGGGACGAAAAAAGGGUAUUCUUACUCACUUGACGGUACCAGAGGAAUAAGCACCGGCUAACUCCGUGCCAGCAGCCGCGGUAAUACGGAGGGUGCAAGCGUUAUCCGGAUUUACUGGGUUUAAAGGGUGCGUAGGUGGGCUUGUAAGUCAGUGGUGAAAUCUCCGGGCUUAACCCGGAAACUGCCAUUGAUACUAUAGGUCUUGAAUUAUCUGGAGGUAAGCGGAAUAUGUCAUGUAGCGGUGAAAUGCUUAGAUAUGACAUAGAACACCAAUUGCGAAGGCAGCUUACUACGGAUAUAUUGACACUGAGGCACGAAAGCGUGGGGAUCAAACAGGAUUAGAUACCCUGGUAGUCCACGCCCUAAACGAUGGAUACUCGACAUCAGCGAUACACUGUUGGUGUNUGAGCGAAGANAUAGUAUCCACCNCGGAGACGANCGCAGAUAGAACACAAGAAGUAGAGCGUGAGACGNGACGACGGACGACGACGAGGGAGGAGG
This 605-nucleotide ribosomal RNA is filed under the name uncultured bacterium. RNAcentral's name for it is "bacterial SSU rRNA". The stretch from base 1 to 532 matches the Rfam family "Bacterial small subunit ribosomal RNA", at positions 338 to 873 of the family's 1533-position model. The record is from RNAcentral.